This 253-nucleotide ribosomal RNA is filed under the name uncultured bacterium. RNAcentral describes it as "partial 16S ribosomal RNA". It matches the Rfam family "Bacterial small subunit ribosomal RNA", at positions 524 to 776 of the family's 1533-position model. The record is from RNAcentral.
UACGUAGGGUGCAAGCGUUAAUCGGAAUUACUGGGCGUAAAGCGUGCGCAGGCGGUUAUGUAAGACAGAUGUGAAAUGCCCGGGCUUAACCUGGGAACUGCAUUUGUGACUGCACGGCUGGAGUGCGGCAGAGGGGGAUGGAAUUCCGCGUGUAGCAGUGAAAUGCGUAGAUAUGCGGAGGAACACCGAUGGCGAAGGCAAUCCCCUGGGCCUGCACUGACGCUCAUGCACGAAAGCGUGGGGAGCAAACAGG